Molecule: long non-coding RNA, 483 nt
Filed under: Ananas comosus (pineapple)
Lineage: Eukaryota; Viridiplantae; Streptophyta; Magnoliopsida; Poales; Bromeliaceae
Description: long non-coding RNA (ACOM_LNC029403)
Source: RNAcentral
UGCGGAUCUCGGCGUUUUGAAUUUAAUUAAGUUUUGGUUCUUCGGGAGAUUUUUCUUUAUACUCGGCCUUUCGACAUUAAUAAAUUAUUUGCUCCGUCUUCGCCCGUGGACGCAGGCCGGUGGCCGAACCACGUAAAUAUCGAUGUGUUCUUUCCUUUUAUCUUUUCUUUUCCUGCUUUAAGGGCAUGUUUGGUUACCCGUAAGUGAAACAAUAAAAGUGGUAUUUUGGCGAAGUGAAAUUAUUUCGGUUAUUUGGAUUAUAAAAGUAAACAUUUAAAUGACUUUUGAAAAGUGAACCGAUGAGGAUUAUAACUAAAAUCUAUUUUUUUGACUUUGCCAAAAAAAUUUUGAAGUCGUUGAAAGUGGGCUGCCUACUCCACGCAACUUACGAACCGCAUCAAAAAACCUUCUUCUAUACCAUCUACAAAAAAUAAAAAAAAUCACUGUAUCUUAACAAAAAAAUACCAACACAUCUUAAAAAAA